CGCACUUGCCACUAAGCUACACCAUCCCCUGGCCACAACUUGCUCAUUUUACUUCCUAUUCUUUUCCCCUCACUUCCGUCUCCUGCCCUCCCAAGAUCAUCUCCCCAUGUCCACAAAUUCUGAAUCCACACUUCCUGUAAUUUUUAUUUUCCUCUUUAAAUUACUUAUACUUUGGGUAUCUUAUGUAAGAUAUAACAUGUGAUAUUUAACCUUCUAUAUUUGACUUUAGCAUUAUGGAUGCAAGGUAUAGUACAUCCAUUUUUCUACAAAUUACUCAGGU
Molecule: long non-coding RNA, 280 nt
Filed under: Fukomys damarensis (Damara mole-rat)
Lineage: Eukaryota; Metazoa; Chordata; Mammalia; Rodentia; Bathyergidae
Description: lncRNA (ENSFDAG00000023823.1)
Source: RNAcentral